GACGAACCACACAAACGUUGUUCGGAAUCACUGGGCUUAAAGGGCGCGUAGGCGGGCAAGCAAGUCCGGGGUGAAAUCUUUCGGCUCAACCGGAAAAGUGCCUUGGAUACUGCUUGUCUGGAGGGAGGUAGGGGCAUGUGGAACUUCUGGUGGAGCGGUGAAAUGCGUUGAUAUCAGAAGGAACGCCGGUGGCGAAAGCGACGUGCUGGACCUCUUCUGACGCUGAGGCGCGAAAGCUAGGGGAGCAAACGGG
Molecule: ribosomal RNA, 253 nt
Filed under: uncultured bacterium
Lineage: Bacteria
Description: partial 16S ribosomal RNA
Rfam family: Bacterial small subunit ribosomal RNA
Source: RNAcentral